CGACUCACCGAGUUGGUGACUUUUGAUGGGUUUUGGUCAUAAGACAUCCUAUGUGCUCAUACAAACCCUAAUGCUUGGAUCUAGGUUUUUCUAUUGUACAUGCUUUGAAUCCAAGACUAUGAACCCUAAUUCUAGUAUAUAGAAAUCAGAAUUCACAUGUAAAUAGGUUUAAGAACAUACCUUGAUUGUUAUAUAGCAAUAACAAUCCAAUUCCUCCUUCAAUUGACCUUGGAAAGCUGAGAGUCACAAGUGUCACUCCUCUAAUGGCUUACAAACACCAUAAGCAAGUGGAGAAGGUAUAAAGAAAGAGGAGGGAGGUUAGAAUUCGUCCUUAGGACCUCUUGGGAAGGGUUAGACGAAUUCCUAAGCCCUAUGGGGUUUAUAUAGGUGUAAAAAUUAAGGUUUUAGUCCUUAUCCUUAUCUAGUUGCUUGUCCACCAAGCAACCAUAAGAUAAGUCCUAGAAACCCUUAUCCUAGUCGAAUUCUAAGGGAUUUACACCUCAAAUUCGUUCACCAUAUAUAUAAGAUAAUCCUUACCUUAUUUUGUAACUAUCACAUAAUUACAAUUCAGCCCCUCUAGUUUAAUUAAUUAUACUUGAUCACAAAAUUAAUUCUUAAUUAAUUAUUGACCAAUAUUAAUUAAACAAAUAUGAUUUCUCCUUUAAUAUAUUAUUCUUAUAACAUAUUAAUAAAUCAUAAUAACCUCUCUCUCUUUAUUUAUUUCUCCAAUCAAGUUGCUUUGGUGAAGGCAACCCAAAAGGACCAUGCACCAUCGGGUCAAGUACAUACCAAAAUAGUUAUGGACUUAGACACUAAUCCAACAGUCUCCCACUUGGAUAAGUCUAACAACUAUUCUGCGUAUGACUUCGGAUCCCGAUCUGCAAUCGUAGCUUUCCAAAGCCGCUGUCAACUCUGAUCAUAUCAAAUACGCGUGUCCUUAGAUAAGGGAUCAUAUAUUCCUCCAUUCUAGAUAUCAUAUGAGAUAUGAUUUCAAAUCAUUCUCUUUGUACUAUAUCUCGAUUCCCGAUUUAUGACGACUGACUAAUUGAACAAAUCAAAUUAGCCCUAGCCCGGCCGAGCAUUUACGUUUGUCAUCACUAAAUCAUCGAGGGGCCCAAAGAUAUCGCUUUUAUCCUACUUUGGAUAAAAGGAACGGAUAAACUUUGAUACAAUGCUUGCUUGCACUCACUCACCGAAUCACACACAACAAUAUGUUUUAUAACACCAAGUUACUAGUGCGUUUACAUAUUAUCAAUGUGCAACCGAUUUGCAAGAUACAACUCACACAUCUCGGUUUCAAGAAUAUAAGAUGUUAUCGUCUCACCAAUCACUCGUGAUACAAUUCAUGGAGUGAUCCAAGUGAGCGUGGGUUUAAUCCAAUGCUCAAAUCACAUUCAUAAGCACUCAUGAACGUUGCAGCAAACAUUUGCUUAUGUCUAAUACUCUUUUAGACAAUCCACACACCAAUUCACGACAGUCUUCAUUCAUAUCUACUUCCAACAUAUGAACGACUGUGGCCCGUUUGAAUAAUUCGAUUAUUCUUAAUAAACUCAAUUAUUCUGGAAGUCAAAACAUGCAAAUGUGAAACACAAGAAUAAUACUAAUCCCAUAUGGCCUCAAACCUUUGAGUAUAAAUAAAACACCUUUUAUUUAUCACCAUAUUGAUUACUCAUUAUUUGUCGUUUCGGGUAAUCAACUUCUUACUUGAAUUCCAACACUUGUCCCAUGCUCCUAGCAUGCACACAAUGUUUACCUAUGGUUCUUACUUUGUGAAAUAGAUCACAUUGAACACAUUUCCAAUCCUUCUCAUUUCACAACUCCAAAUCCGUUUUUCAUAAGUCAAAGAAUAUCAAAUUCUUGCUACUUAUAGAAUAUGCUAGAUUCUAACAUUCUAUGCAACUAUCCUUUCGUAAUGUCACUGCACCAAAGUCACAAAGACUAUUGCCAAUGAUAUUACAAAGUCCUCUAUCGGAGAUUGUUACAAGACAAUUCCAUAGACGUGAUGUCUCUCACUCAAAGUACAUUCUUUGAACAUCCUUUUGCAUAGAAGUUUCUAAUCUAGUCAUAGAUUUCUCAAUAUUCAAUUCCCAAUAUGGACACACUUCCAUAUGUUCCAUAUGACAACUCAUUCUUAAUAGAAUCUUAUCUAUUCGUAAUGAUGUCGAUAUGGUCCAUCCAAUAUGGAAACAUUUCCAUAUUUUCCAAUACUAUACUUCCAACUACUCACAAGCGACCAAUCCUCGUCGAACUUUGGAUUGUCCUUUGAUAGUUGUUUAAUUAUUUUAGUCAAAACCAAUUCUAGUCCCUUUUCCCUCUAAAUGCGCUCGACAUUUGGAAAAUUUUAGAAUGGUCAAACAUUAAAGCAUUUGCAAUCGAUCCUAUACCCGAAGCGUAUGGGACACGACGCAUAAUGUUUUAUUUGCUAUGUUCUCAAAAUUCGAAUUGUGAAGAGGAAUGCCGUAAUCAUAAUCGAAAUUUUAAGAACACACUAUGUACCUUUGACUAAAUUUAUUAACAUUUCUCAACCUAAGCCUUUAGAUUUGAAAUGAAGCAUAAUAUUCUCUCCCUUAAUUAUAGCAAAACAACUUUUCAACCCUUACAACUUUGCAAAGUAUGACUCUUGUUUUCUAUAAUUAAUAUUGCCAACUUGCAAUACUUUCCUUAAUAAUCAUACAAUCAUAACAUUUAUGCUCCCACUAUCAUGAUGAUUAUUAUAAAACAUAACACUUAUGCUCCCACUAGCUUCGACAUGUAUUCAUAAACAUCUUAACUUUCAGAAAAACAAUACUUAUUGAAUUUCUUAAGUUCAUGUUUCUAAUACUUAGUGCUUUGAUAAUCUUUUAUCAAGGCUUCUUGAACUUAUACACCUUUGCCUUCGAUAGUUCAUAUGUGUGUCUAAACAAUUAAGACUAAUUGCCAAACCUCACAAUUCAAAUUAUGGAAAGGGAUACCGUAACCAUAAUCGAAUUCGAGAAUGCAAUUUUACAAUCACUAUCUUCUUAAAAUCUUUCUUAGUGAAAGCAUUUCCUCACAAUCAUUUUCAUGAAGGAGGAAAUCUUAUGACACUUAGAUUUAAACGGUGUAUGUGUUCCUAUCCAUGUGAAUUUGUUAAAACCAAAGUUUACGACAAAUUCAAACUCAUAUGGACCGAACUUUCUUAAUCUUGAUUUCUUGCCUUAUGGUAGCACAGCUGCCCACCAUGUCUUCCAAGUAGUUAAGCAGCUCACCCUUUCCUAUCAAUGUACCUUUCAUUGAUUAAGGUGCUUUGCCUUUUAUGCGUUCAAAAUGAGAACUCAUAGAACUCACAUGCAUAAUUAACUCGAUUGGAUUGGCACAGAAACAAAAUAAUGUCAACACGAUAGGUUGUAAACCUCAACUCGUGUGCUAGUGAUGAUCGAUAAGGUUUUUUUGAUUUGUUCUUGAAACCUUUCAAGACCAUUAAGACUCCCACUGACUCCUUGACAUAUAAGAUUCUCUUGUCAAUAAACAUUUCUUGACAAACAAAUAUUCAAGAGUUAGUGUAGCUUUUAUCAAAACACUUCAUAAAUUGGUCCUAGUUGGUCUUUGUCUUAUCCAAGACAUCACAACUUUCCACAUUUGAUGAAUGUUAUAAACCUUCUUAAUACUUUUCACUCAAUGUCACAAUCUUAACUCUAAGACUUGUUUUGGAACGAAGUAUGAUUGACUUCUUGAUUUAACCAUUUCUUCAAUUCUUGAUUCCUCUUCUUAGACAUACAAUUGUACUAAGACUCACUUAGAGGAUCAAUUGAGAUAUGGUUCUUAAUCAUUAAGACCUAUCAUAAAGCAUAAAAGGUACUCUCCCUUCUUCUUAGAAUGGAGAAACUUUUAUCUUUCUGCCUACUUGAUUCUUCUUAUUCGUUCUGCUAUUGAUUUAAACUUUUUCAAUCAAUUCAGAAUUACACUUAAUCUUGUAAGUAUAAUCAUAUUUACUAAACCUUUAGUAAAUCAUGACGAAUAUCUUUGUUACUCUUAUGGUGGACUUGAUCAACACGCAACUUUGUGUACUCGAUCUCCUAGUCCUUCACUUGACACUUUGUCAAUGAAUUAGUCUAAUUUCCAAAUAUGAAAUUUCUCAUUCAUCGUGCAACCAAGUUGCAUGAUUCCAAGUUUCUGUCCAAUUGAAACUUGGGCGAUGAGAAACUCUCCCUAUUUGGUAAACUCUCGACUUUCCAUAAAUAACAUAAUAAGAACCAAAUCCAUUAUUGCUAAUAAUAGAAACAUUCAAACAUCAAUUUUUCAUAUACGCCAUUGCAAGGAUAAAUAAAUAAUAUAAAAUCAAAAUUUAUUUUAUUGCGGAAAAAAUUUGUCCUUACAAUGCAAUUCAUUGAAAAACUAUGCUAAUACAUCUUUCUUAGCAAUCUAAUUCUAACUCUAAGUAGUAGCUCAAGAAUCUAAUCUUCGAGAAAUGCGAUCGAAAUCCAUUCCUUCACGGUUAGAUUCUGCUCACUUCUUCCCUUAAGCUUCCUUUCUUUUCUUCGAUCCUACAAAACAUCAAUUGUAAUCUUAUCACAUUAUGUAUUAAGAAUCUAGAAUAGAAGCUUAAAAGAGUUAGUUAAUGGAUUUUACCUAUAUUAGAGCCAUACGUUUCGACUCUCCCAUCUCUUAGAUCUCUUAGGUAAAUGGGGCAGCUUCGUCUCCAAUGCCCUUUCUCUUGGCAAUAAAAGCAAAUUGACUCUUUUGGAACAUGACAUGGAACUACUUCAGACAUUGCCUUUCUCUUAUGAUCAAACUUUUCGAUCAUAGCAUGUCUUUCGUUGCCAUUGUCUAUAUCCAUAGAGGUCUUGAAGGCAGAUUCACCAAUCAACUUUGCUUUUCUAUUGCGCCAAACCAUUGCUGAUUCAGCAGCAAUAAGCAUAUAGGUGAGAUCUAUAAGGGUCACGUCGCGGUUCAUCAUAUAGUACUCUCUUACGAACUCACUAUAUGAGUUAGGAAGUGACUGAAGAACCCAAUCAACAGCCAUUUCCUCACAGACAACGGAUCCCAACAUUCUUAACCUAUCAAUGUGUGACUUCAUCCCUAGGACGUGUGCACACACCGACUUUCCUUCUUUAUGUUUACUUGCCAAAAGGGCUUGAGUGAUCUUGAACUUUUCAAGCCUUUGAACUUGUGGGUUAGGGAGAAUAAUUGGAGGAGGAGGAGGAAGUGAAGCAUGAUUUCUUGUUCCUCGAUCGAAUCGUGGAAUAUCAUCUUCAUGUGGAAUGCUUGUUCCACGGGAUUUGGGAAGACCAUAGUUGUCGAACUUUGACAUCUACAAAACGGGAGAAAACGAAUUCAAGUUAGUUGAUUGAUUGAGUCCUUAGUAAAUCACCCAAAUGAGAUACUAAGGCUAGGACCCAACACAAUAUUCUACAACUCGGGAGAGGGAUGCCGUAACCCUAAUUGCAGAAUAUUUGAAGGUAAGUGAAUGACGAUUCACUAAUUUCCACCAUGAAAAACGAAAAAGAAAUUUAAGUUUUAAAUCUAUGAAAACUCCUAGAUCCUUUGAGAUUCAUUGAACUUUCAAUGGCAUGUUUAAAUCUCGAUAUGCCCCUCUUGUUUGUGACUGGGAUGCCGAGGAUCACAAAGCGGGUGUGAAUAACCAUGCAAACUUACAUGGUGCCCUCACAUGUUACAGUCACCUAUUCGAUGUGCCGGUAAACCACACACGCUCCACCGAACUAUGACAAACAUUGAGUCACCCUUUGCUACCUUUGCUUAGAACCAUUUAGUGUGCCGGUUAACCACACACGCUCCACUAACGUCUUCGCAAGGGCACAAAGUGUAAUUUCAUGGAAUUGCAUCAAUUCACUUUUGCCUAAGUAACUAAGAUUGGGAAUUUUAUGAAAACAUUUAGUUACUUUAAUAAUUCAUUAUACUUAUAAUGGAAGGUUUCGUCCUAUCCUACCCGUUCGGCUAACGACCCUCCACUAGUCAAGAGUGCGGUGGGUAAGAGUGGAUACCCAUUCAAUCGCCAUUUUAUAGGCAAUUUCCUUAAACACCCCUUAUAGACCAGCUUCGUGAAUGAGGCCUACUAACGGUAAGACUGACUUUUACUCAUACAUAUAUAUAAUGUUAGACUUUUAAUGUUAUAUAUAGUAUAGGGUGUAUUUUAUACUUUUAAAAUACUAGGUGGUCUAAUUUAACAAUUAUACUUUUAAUUCAAUUAAAUUGUAAACCUAAACUUUUAUGGAUUUAUUAAACUUCUUUUAAUUAUACACCUUAAUUAAUUAAUAAAACCAUAAGGGUGUGAUUUGAACUUUUUCAAAACUAUACUAGAGUUUUAGAAUUUAACAUUCCUAAUUAAACUUUUAAUCAACUUUUAAAUUCCAAAACUUGAGGGCAAGUUUUGAAACAUUUCAACACAUUAGGGUUUAGAAUUUAAAUAUGCAUCAAAAUUAAACUAUUUAAUCAAAAUUUAAAUUCCAAAACUUGAGGGCAAGUUUUGAAACCUUUUUCAAAACAUUAGGGUUUCAACUAUUUAAAUUUCAAAACAACAAAACUUUUGGGGUUCAAAUUUAAACUAUAAAACCUAAAGGGCCAAAUAUGAAACUUUUCACAACAACAAGGAUCAAAUAACAAAUAAUUCAAAUUAACAUUUAAUCACAUAAUUAUCCAUAUUUGAUGAUUUCUUGCAAAAUAAUUUAUCAAUUUACUUAAAAUAAUUAAUCAAUUAUCUUAUAAGGAAACAAUUAUCUUAUUAAUUGAUAAAUAUCUUCAAUUAGAUUAAAAAUAUAGUCAAAUAUAUCAUAUAAUCGGAUUAAUAUUAAUCUAACAUGAUAAGGUAAUUAUCCCAAUGCAAAAACAGCAAGAAAUCCCGAGAUAAGCACUGUCUGACGCACCGACUCGCCGAGUCACCCUCUGGAACUCGCCGAGUAGGGCUGACUCGCCGAGUCCAAGAGUGACUCGCCGAGUCAGGUCGAACAGUGAGGCCAAAACACGAUUUUCAGUUACAUCAAGCAUCAAUACAAUAGAAACCAAUCAUGGCUCUGAUACCACUGAUGGGUUUUGGUCAUAAGACAUCCUAUGUGCUCAUACAAACCCUAAAGCUUGGAUCUAGGUUUCUCUAUUGUACAUACUUUGAAUCCAAGACUUUGAACCCUAAUUCUAGCAUAUGGAAAUCAGAAUUCACAUGUAAUUAGGUUUAAGAACAUACCUUGAUUGUUAUAUAGCAAUAACAAUCCAAUUCCUCCUUGAAUUGACCUUGGAAAGCUGAGAGUCACAAGUGUCACUCCUCUAAUGGCUUACAAACACCAUAAGCAAGUGGAGAAGGUAUAAAGAGAGAGGAGGGAGGUUAGAAUUCGUCCUUAGGACCUCUUGGGAAGGGUUAGACGAAUUCCUAAGCCCUAGGGGGUUUAUAU
This 7358-nucleotide long non-coding RNA is filed under the name Lactuca sativa (garden lettuce). RNAcentral describes it as "long non-coding RNA (LSAT_LNC008845)". The record is from RNAcentral. Lineage: Eukaryota; Viridiplantae; Streptophyta; Magnoliopsida; Asterales; Asteraceae.